AACAUCUUGCUCAUUUCUGAUUUCAGGAGGGACCUUUGGAGACAGAACUUGUCCAUGAUGUUUUGUGUGUGGUGGCUGCUGUGAUUGUGAUGGGCAUGGCUGGGCUUAUCAGUGGUGUCUCCCCAGGAGGUGUAAGGGGGCUGGAUCUGAGUGUAUCAAAGUGUCUAUGGCCAGGACUUACAGGAAGAGGCAUGAGCUUAGGAAAUACUCCUAGAAGCAACCUGGGAGGAAGAAAGCCCAGACUCUGCAUGGCAGCUGGGGAGAUUGUCAACAGUUUUUGUCCAGAUGCUCAGAGCCCUGGCUGGGGAACGAAGAUUUGCAUAGUU
RNAcentral lists this long non-coding RNA (326 nucleotides) under Homo sapiens (human). Its description in RNAcentral is "HSALNT0267287". The record is from RNAcentral. Lineage: Eukaryota; Metazoa; Chordata; Mammalia; Primates; Hominidae.